RNAcentral lists this ribosomal RNA (546 nucleotides) under Alternaria alternata. RNAcentral's name for it is "eukaryotic LSU rRNA". The stretch from base 183 to 336 matches the Rfam family "5.8S ribosomal RNA". The record is from RNAcentral. Lineage: Eukaryota; Fungi; Ascomycota; Dothideomycetes; Pleosporales; Pleosporaceae. RNAcentral also lists the same sequence under 1 other name.
CUGCGGAGGGAUCAUUACACAAAUAUGAAGGCGGGCUGGAACCUCUCGGGGUUACAGCCUUGCUGAAUUAUUCACCCUUGUCUUUUGCGUACUUCUUGUUUCCUUGGUGGGUUCGCCCACCACUAGGACAAACAUAAACCUUUUGUAAUUGCAAUCAGCGUCAGUAACAAAUUAAUAAUUACAACUUUCAACAACGGAUCUCUUGGUUCUGGCAUCGAUGAAGAACGCAGCGAAAUGCGAUAAGUAGUGUGAAUUGCAGAAUUCAGUGAAUCAUCGAAUCUUUGAACGCACAUUGCGCCCUUUGGUAUUCCAAAGGGCAUGCCUGUUCGAGCGUCAUUUGUACCCUCAAGCUUUGCUUGGUGUUGGGCGUCUUGUCUCUAGCUUUGCUGGAGACUCGCCUUAAAGUAAUUGGCAGCCGGCCUACUGGUUUCGGAGCGCAGCACAAGUCGCACUCUCUAUCAGCAAAGGUCUAGCAUCCAUUAAGCCUUUUUUUCAACUUUUGACCUCGGAUCAGGUAGGGAUACCCGCUGAACUUAAGCAUAUCAA